This 429-nucleotide ribosomal RNA is filed under the name Bacillota bacterium. RNAcentral's name for it is "Firmicutes bacterium partial 16S ribosomal RNA". It matches the Rfam family "Bacterial small subunit ribosomal RNA", at positions 355 to 776 of the family's 1533-position model. Lineage: Bacteria; Bacillati; Bacillota. The record is from RNAcentral.
UGGGGAAUUUUGGACAAUGGGCGAAAGCCUGAUCCAGCAAUGCCGCGUGUGUGAAGAAGGCCUUCGGGUUGUAAAGCACUUUUGUCCGGAAAGAAAUGGCUCUGGUUAAUACCUGGGGUCGAUGACGGUACCGGAAGAAUAAGGACCGGCUAACUACGUGCCAGCAGCCGCGGUAAUACGUAGGGUCCAAGCGUUAAUCGGAAUUACUGGGCGUAAAGCGUGCGCAGGCGGUUGUGCAAGACCGAUGUGAAAUCCCCGAGCUUAACUUGGGAAUUGCAUUGGUGACUGCACGGCUAGAGUGUGUCAGAGGGGGGUAGAAUUCCACGUGUAGCAGUGAAAUGCGUAGAGAUGUGGAGGAAUACCGAUGGCGAAGGCAGCCCCCUGGGAUAACACUGACGCUCAUGCACGAAAGCGUGGGGAACAAACAGG